ACCCCGAGAUGUGAUGCCGAACCGCUUCAGGUGAAGUGACUGAUCCCAUGCUGCCGAGAAAAGCCUCUAGCGAGCUGACAUGGUGCCCGUACCCCAAACCGACUCAGGUGGGCACGUAGAGAAUACGAAGGCGAUCGGGAUAACUCUGGUUAAGGAACUCGGCAAAAUGCCCCCGUAACUUCGGGAGAAGGGGGGCCUCAGUAGGGUAAGGGACUUCGCGUCCUGAGCUCGAGGAGGCCGCAGAGACCAGGGCCAAGCGACUGUUUACUAAAAACACAGGAGCGUGCGAAGUCGUAAGACGAUGUAUACGCUCUGACGCCUGCCCGGUGCCGGAAGGUUACGUGGAAGGGUUAGCCGCAAGGCGAAGCUCUGAAACUAAGCCCCGGUAAACGGCGGCCGUAACUAUAACGGUUCUAAGGUAGCGAAAUUCCUUGUCGGGUAAGUUCCGACCUGCACGAAUGGCGUAACGACUUGGCUACUGUCUCAACCAGAGACCCGGCGAAGUUGCACGACGAGUAAAGACGCUCGUUUCCCGCAGAAGGACGGAAAGACCCCGUGGACCUUUACUACAAUUUGAUGUUGGGUUUCGGUAGAUGUUGUGUAGGAUAGGUGGGAGUCUUGGAAGCCGGGGCGUUAGCUUCGGUGGAGACAACGUUGAAAUACCACCCUGCAUGUAUUGAGGCUCUAACUCAGGCCCGUGAAUCCGGGUCGGGGACAGCGUCAGGUGGGUAGUUUGACUGGGGCGGUCGCCUCCUAAAGAGUAACGGAGGCGCCCAAAGGUUCCCUCAGCCUGGUUGGCCAUCAGGCGGCGAGUGCAAAGGCACAAGGGAGCUUGACUGCGAGACCUACAAGUCGAGCAGGUGCGAAAGCAGGGCUUAGUGACCCGGCCGUGGCAUGUGGAAGCGCGGUCGAUCAACGGAUAAAAGGUACCCCGGGGAUAACAGGCCUAUCUUGCCCAAGAGUCCACAUCGACGGCAAGGUUUGGCACCUCGAUGUCGGCUCGUCGCAUCCUGGGGGUGAAGCAUCUCCCAAGGGUUGGGCUGUUCGCCCAUUAAAGCGGUACGCGAGCUGGGUUUAGAACGUCGCGAGACAGUUCGGUCCCUAUCCUCUGUGGGCGUAGGAGAUUUGAGGGGAGCUGUCCCUAGUACGAGAGGACCGGGACGGACGCAGCUCUCGUGUGCCAGUUGUCCUGCCAAGGGCACGGCUGGUUGGCGACCUGCGGAAGGGAUAAGCGCUGAAAGCAUCUAAGCGCGAAGCCCGCCUCGAGAUGAGAUCUCCCACCGGGUUAACCGGGUAAGGCCCCUGGAAGACGACCAGGUUGAUAGGCCGGAGGUGUACGCACGGUGACGUGUUCAGCCGACCGGUACUAAUAGGCCGAGGGCUUGGGACA
RNAcentral lists this ribosomal RNA (1390 nucleotides) under metagenome. Its description in RNAcentral is "bacterial LSU rRNA". It matches the Rfam family "Bacterial large subunit ribosomal RNA", at positions 1553 to 2925 of the family's 2925-position model. The record is from RNAcentral.